UUUUAGCCCUGAUAGCAGCGGCAUCCUUUUGUGCCGGGGUUCGGCACAAAAGAUACAGCGAAUAGCAGGAAGUCGC
This 76-nucleotide small RNA is filed under the name Flavobacterium sp. TAB 87. RNAcentral describes it as "Flavo-1 RNA". It matches the Rfam family "Flavo-1 RNA". Lineage: Bacteria; Pseudomonadati; Bacteroidota; Flavobacteriia; Flavobacteriales; Flavobacteriaceae. The record is from Rfam by way of RNAcentral.